RNAcentral lists this long non-coding RNA (202 nucleotides) under Gallus gallus (chicken). The record is from RNAcentral. Lineage: Eukaryota; Metazoa; Chordata; Aves; Galliformes; Phasianidae.
CUUUGAUGAUGUUCGGAUUCAUGGACUGCCCCGGAGGUGCCCGGCGCGGGGCUCCGAUGACGGCGGCUCUCCGCGUCCCCGCCGGCUGCACGCCGCUCCCCGUGACUUUGCCAUAGGACUCCUCCGGUUCGUCCGCAGGAGCUUUGCAGCAUCCUCUGCGCAGGGUCAGCCCACGGCACGCGGGGACCCCGCGGUGCUCCCC